AGAGGCACAAAACUUGGUGUUUCAUCUAUUGCUAAAACAAAUGCAAGUGCCAAAAGCAGGUAAAGGCUCUUAUUACUUCCUCAAACUUAUGAGAUUCUUAUUUUCCUUAAGACCCCUCAUAAACUUAAUAGUGGGUACAUAAUUUGCGAUGCAUGUAAGCAUUCAAGAAUGUCUUCAAUUGUCGAAUAUGAGAACUUUCCCAUGGGUAGGGCGCAUAAUAUACUUGGUGAAUGAUAAGAUGAAUCCUCAAGAAAGUUCAUUUAUUUGGCUUAUUUGUAUUUGAUGCAACUAGAAACCUUUUUUUUUUUUUUUUUUUUUUUUUUUUUUUUUUUUUUUUUUUUGUAGAAACUGUAUUUUCAUAUAAUUAAGAACUUUAGUGAAAUAAUGGAUAUGAUAAACAAGUUUGAAAAGCUGAGUUUCUUAUUUGAAUGCAUGGAAUUCUCAGAUUUUAAAAUUAUUCUCAAUUUUGUUUAAUGGCAUGUCAUUUUAUGUUCAUGUGUUUCAUAUAUCAUCCAAUGAUGGGUAAACAAAAUUAAUGGGUAAGGAAGUUUAAGUGAGUAAUCAUUUUUUCUUAUUCUAGAAUUCCUAAUGCAUGUAGAAUGGUCAAGAGGAAGAGAAAUAAGAAGAAUGGUGCGGGUGGUGGUACAAUCAUGGUCCCCUGGUCCUAUGCUGAUGGAGGUUAAGAACAUUCUUCAAACUUAGUGGCAACCUUACUGGGUCAUCAACCAUGAGCUGGUGAUGACUACAAAGGAGUACACGCGAGAGGUCAUGGUUAUAGAUCCUAAAUGGCUUGUGGAAAUGGCGCCUAGAUUUUUGAAGGUGGCAGAUUCUACAAAGCUGAGCAAGUGAAAACAACAAGAAAGGAUUAAGCCACUUUAUGACAGACAUCACGAGCCGAAUUCUUGGCGUUUGAGUAAACGCCGUGCUUGAGAUGUCUCGAUGUCAUUCAUUUUGAUUAUGGGUAUAGCUGUAAAUCGGAAUGGUGUUGUUUGCAUGUUUGUCCCUUGUUAUUUGAUGUGGUGCAUUCAGCAGGAGAGAAAUACCUGGCACUUUGAGGAUUCAGAAAAAACCAUUUCAGAUCUUAAACUAUUCUUUUUAAGACUCUUUAGGACUAGGUUGUAGCGUUAGGUUUUCGUUCUUUUGUUUUAGUUCAUGGUUUAAUGGACUUUUGUACUUUAUGUGCUUGAUUUUAUUGUAAAAGGGAGUUGCUAGUUCUAUUCAGAUUAUUGUUACACUACAAGAAUUUUAUUGUAUUAUUAUUGUUACACUACAUGAACUUCAUUAUAAAAGGGAGCUGCUCGUUC
Molecule: long non-coding RNA, 1304 nt
Organism: Quercus lobata
Lineage: Eukaryota; Viridiplantae; Streptophyta; Magnoliopsida; Fagales; Fagaceae
Exons: 2
Source: RefSeq, a predicted model, not a curated record